UACGGAGGGUGCAAGCGUUAUCCGGAUUCACUGGGUUUAAAGGGUGCGUAGGUGGGUAUGUAAGUCAGUGGUGAAAUCCCCGAGCUUAACUUGGGAACUGCCGUUGAUACUAUAUAUCUUGAAUGUCGUAGAGGUAAGCGGAAUAUGUCAUGUAGCGGUGAAAUGCUUAGAUAUGACAUAGAACACCAAUUGCGAAGGCAGCUUACUAUGCGAUUAUUGACACUGAGGCACGAAAGCGUGGGUAGCAAACAGG
This 253-nucleotide ribosomal RNA is filed under the name uncultured bacterium. RNAcentral describes it as "partial 16S ribosomal RNA". It matches the Rfam family "Bacterial small subunit ribosomal RNA", at positions 524 to 776 of the family's 1533-position model. The record is from RNAcentral.